Long non-coding RNA from Bombus huntii, 3446 nucleotides. RefSeq lists it as uncharacterized. The record is from RefSeq and is a predicted model, not a curated record. The transcript is spliced from 3 exons. Lineage: Eukaryota; Metazoa; Arthropoda; Insecta; Hymenoptera; Apidae.
CGAAAGUUCGACCGUGAAACAACACUCGUGAUCGUAGAUGACGUGAAUGACUUGCAUUUAUUUCGCUUUGAUGAUCAAGCACGUUAGCAGCUACUCACCGAGGUUUUUACCUUUGAGACCGUUCGCGCACCUUUGAACCAAUACGUCCGUAAAUUGAUGGUAAACUGAAAAUGUUGGAGGAAUUCACAUAUAAAAAAUGACAAUCAUUAGGUUUACAUUACAUAUUUAUGAGUUAAUUAUGUAAGGAUUGAGAAAUGAAGAGGUUAUAGGUUGAAGCUUUUAGGAGUUUGAAAUUGGGAAAAUGAGAGACCACGUUUAUUUUGAGACAAUAUAUUUAUUUCUUAUUAAUAUGGAGUUUUCAACAAUAACAGUAUAAUAGUAGGCGUAACAAGAGAGACGAGGUAGGUUACGAGGAACCUAACCUAAUACCGUACGCCAACAAGUCACCGCCGUAACAGAAUCUCUGUGAUUUAUUAUACGACUACUUCGUGUAAUCCUUUACUUUAUGAUUUUACAAUACUUAUUUCGUUUCCUUAAAGUUGCAUUGUGCUUAAGUUAUAAUUUAUGCAACUUUAAUGCAACGUAAGUAGCAAUUGGUCUACCAAAUUAAAGACCUUUUUAAAGUAAUGGUUAGUUCUUGAUAAGUAUUUAUGAAUUAGAUCUUAUUAGUUUUUACUCGUAUUAGCAAAACGAAAGAGUAGUACAGAAGUACCUAUAUUGAGCCUCAAGAAUUUUUUUAGCAUUGCAUUCUAUGCAGUUGAGAAGUUUACUAUUAAAUCUCCACAAUGUACAAAGUUCCAUUGUAAUUGUUGAAAAAAUAAAUUUCAAAGAUAGUAGGAACCUUGUUCUGUGAAUUGAGACAUUAUUCUAUGCAUAGAAUUCAAUGAACAAGUCCUCAGUAUUUGAUACUUCCUAUUUGUUAAUUUGUCAGUAUAUUCUGUACUUAUAUUGGAAAUGUUCUCAUACCUAAGCAACAAAUCCAAAUAUCUUGUGAAUUUGAGAGAAUAUCUUUUUCUUGACUUAUUUGCGAUGUAUAGUUAAUGUCUGUUUUUCAUUGAGAAGUUUUAAUUGUUUUUAAGAGAGCCCUGAAGAAUGCAUUAUAUUUAAUGCGAUAAUAUUAUUUGGCAGGACCUUAAAAUCAAUAUAACAAUAGUUGAAAUUAUGGCAGUGUUUUAUAGUAUAGAAUAAUCUUAUUGCCAUUAAACGUGGAAAUAACGUGUUAAGGCUAUUAGAAUGUUAUUAAUACUUUAAUUACUAGUUAUCUCUAAUAACUGAAUCAUACAAAUUUAUAUUAGAUUUAUUAUCAAGCAAUAAAUGUUCCUUUUCUUUUAAAGUUCAAAUUUUCGAAAGUUUGAAUUUUAAAUCUGUUAUUUUUAUGGACAUUAUUGAUGAGAACAAUGAGAACACUUCAUGAUAUUAAUUUAGAGAAUGGAAAGAAAAGAGCACUAAAAGAUCCAGAAGUUUUAAUUAACUAAGGGGAAUUCUCUAAAUUCUACAUUAAAUAGGCCGAUUCAAUUUUUUUGAUUAUCGCAUGUAAUAAUUUUCAGAAUAUUUGAUUUGUAAUUGAAUAAUAAAGAUAGAAGUACAGAUGAAUUUUGCUCUGAUCUUUCCAUAAAAUGCUCACAUUAUACAGGUUCUUGUUGGCGCACAAUGAAGUAGGGGGCUCGACCUUUAAUUCAGUGCAAUAAUGCCUCUUCAGGUAUCUAGAGUAGAAGACACAUAUGUACAAAGACUUUCAAAAGACAGGUUUCUUUUUUCUCUUUUUUUAUGCAUUUUGGAAUAAAUUGGAGAAAAGAAUAUAUAUGAUCACUACUGAACUAAAUUACCGGCAGAACCCACUUAUUAAAGAAUGUUACAGCUAUUAAUUAAUGUAAUAAGUCUAUCUUUGAUUUAGUUAGGCUUGGGUGACUCUAAACUGGCCCCCUAUAUCUUUGUAUUUUGAUUACUUCCUGAAUCUGCUAUUGCAAGCAAGCCAGUCGUUUUUCUUUGUUAUUCAAUUGAAAGAAAUUUAUGGAAAUUAUCUUUAUUGUUUGUAACACAAUGAUAUUUGUCUUUGUUUCCUCAUCAUCAUGUAUGAAAUAUUCUCGAAAGUCUGUUAGCUAAAAAAUGACAGGUGUAAACAUGUAGGUGCUGACAGUGUAAAUGGUAAAACAAAUGUAGUUACUUGUAAGUUGGGACACUUUCAUUGGUAGAAGUUACACUUGUUAUACAUCAGAUUGAGGAUUCAGUAGUUGUAUGUAGUCAGCCUGCGAACAACUUAUGUUGUCUUAUAGAGUCUCUGAAGCAUAGUCUGAAUUUAGUGAAAUGUAUUUUUGAAUUUCAAGGAUGAUAACUAACAUGCAUUUGUGAGAGUCUCUAUCUCGUUAGACUUUCAAGAAUUUCAGUUACGAGUGUCGGAUACAGUGCCUAACGAGAAAACUAUGAAACUAAAUCGCUAUCCUCUAUGUAUAAUUUAUAAUUAUAUAGCGAAUUGCUCGAUAAUACGAUUAAACGCUAUAUCCUUUGACGAAAAAAAGGAAGAAGAAAGUAUAAAGGAAGAGGAAAAGAACAUUUUGAGAUAGAGAGUGUAUAUAUGUGCGUGUUCAAUUCCAAUGAUCCGUGGAUGCGUGUGUGCAAUUCCUGCAUAAAUUUUUCUUCACCUAUCAGUCUAAUAAUUGGUGGAAGGUUAUUGCACAGUAAACACACGAUUUCUUCCACUAUCAGUGAAUGAAAUUACAAAUAGAAUGAUUAAUGUGUGCAUACAAUUAUCGUCGUUAAAUGUUUGCUGAUAGAAUUUCAUUCCAUAUAAUGGUAUACCAGCUUUCGGUAAAAAAGUGACUCGUCCGAUUAAAAUUUCGUCCGCCUUUCAAUAUAUUUUAUUAUUCAUUCUUUUAUUUUGAAUGAGAUAAUUUUUAAUAAGAUUAUGUAUUUUUUUCUUUUAGUAAAUGGUCAUUCUACGCUGAGAGUUCUACGGGCGAGUCUCUCCUUUUCUCUCCUCCCAUGAGAGAAAUACUAGAAGGUUUAUGGCAGUAUGUGAGUCAGCAAAAUUCCGUAGACCAGCGAUUCUCAGCUUUCACUUAUUUCUAUUCAUUGUCGAUUCUUCCUACUUUAAUAUAUGCCAUUGUCUUAUGCGGCCGUUCGAAUCUCCAUCACCAAUUUGUUUCAGAUGGCAAACUGAAAGAUGUCGAUGAGUCAUCUACGAAUGAUUAAAAGGAAUUUGAGAAAUACGGCAGUGUACGAUAUCUAAUAAUCAUAUUAUAAUUUUAAGAGAGACUCGCCCAGACCGACAGCCUCUGUAGAGUUAAAAUGCCAACAAGAAAAUACUUUAGUUACUCAUUUAAGUCGCUACUCGUUAAGACAAUCUACUAAAGUUUUAUAGCACUUUUUUUCCAUUUUUUUAUCAACAUACUCUAUCAGUAUUAUCAAUGUACGUAACAACAUGAACAGAUAAAGAGAUUUCACUCUUU